GUGAAUAUAGUUUAUUAAAACACUAGCUUGUGAUUCUAGAAACGGGAAUUAACUACUCCCUAUUCACC
This 68-nucleotide transfer RNA is filed under the name Melanophryniscus simplex. Its description in RNAcentral is "tRNA-His". It matches the Rfam family "tRNA". Rfam says of the family: Transfer RNA (tRNA) molecules are approximately 80 nucleotides in length. Lineage: Eukaryota; Metazoa; Chordata; Amphibia; Anura; Bufonidae. The record is from RNAcentral.